CACAAGCUAAUUGAUGAUUUGGAUGAGUGGAUCAGAGGACGACAUGAGCAGGUAUUUCCAUUUGAUCAUACCCAAAAUGAUAAUGUAUACCCUAACUUAAGAUGAUGGCUCUUCUACUCUGCUAACAUAACAUGCAUGUGCUUGUGUGGAGUGCCUGCAAAAUUAAUAUCUCAAGUCUCUCAACACGCAGAUGUGGAGAGGGUUCUCCUAGCGGUCAUUGCAACUGUGAUAUGCAUUUCCUUGCUCUCGGCUUUGAUCAAGUUUGUAGCGUCUGGGAAUGUGCAUAUGAAAAUCCACACGUGCGAUUUGGUUGUUAUAUUUUUUCCACACUGGUUUCUAGAGAUGUUCAAGUUAUCUCAUAUACUAUAUCGAACUAUAAUGGAUAAGUUAGUGUACAUACUGAUUUGAAGAUCCUUUUGCUGUCAUACACAUAUUACUGCAGGACCAUAGCGGACCAUUGCAAUGCGGCAAAUCAAAUUUCAAUACUCAACACUCUUCUAUGUGGAUUAACGAAGGGCAUGACGGAUGGCACCGGCGGAAAGGUGAGCGCCGGUGGAGAUAAGCGAGAAAAGGAGCAGCGCGAGGCGGUAGGCAGCCUUGAAGAGGAUGAGAGGGCCCGCUGCUAGGGGAUGGUCCUAGGGAUUUUUGAAUCAACGAGAGCAGUGUCGGCCCAGGUAUCUUCUUCCAUCUCUGGAUCCUAAACUAUAUAUCUCUCUAAUCUGCAUUGACACGCAGUAGUGCCGGGUACAAGUGUGUGGCUGCUCCAGUGCCACCACAGUCCCCAGUACC
This is a non-coding RNA of Aegilops tauschii subsp. strangulata, 789 nucleotides long. NCBI's taxonomy places the organism in Eukaryota, Viridiplantae, Streptophyta, Magnoliopsida, Poales, Poaceae. The record is from RefSeq and is a predicted model, not a curated record.